UACGAAGGGGGCUAGCGUUGCUCGGAAUCACUGGGCGUAAAGGGUGCGUAGGCGGGUCUUUAAGUCAGGGGUGAAAUCCCGAGGCUCAACCUCGGAACUGCCUUUGAUACUGGGGAUCUCGAGUCCGGGAGAGGUGAGUGGAACUGCGAGUGUAGAGGUGAAAUUCGUAGAUAUUCGCAAGAACACCAGUGGCGAAGGCGGCUCACUGGCCCGGAACUGACGCUGAGGUGCGAAAGCGUGGGGAGCAAACAGGG
This 254-nucleotide ribosomal RNA is filed under the name uncultured bacterium. Its description in RNAcentral is "partial 16S ribosomal RNA". It matches the Rfam family "Bacterial small subunit ribosomal RNA", at positions 524 to 777 of the family's 1533-position model. The record is from RNAcentral.